UCUACGGGGGGCUGCAGUGAGGAAUAUUGGUCAAUGGCCGGAAGGCUGAACCAGCCAUGCCGCGUGAAGGUCAGUGCCCUAUGGGCGUUAAACUUCUUUUGUGCGGGAGCAAUAAUGGUCACGUGUGGCCAGACGAGAGUACCGUACGAAUAAGCAUCGGCUAACUCCGUGCCAGCAGCCGCGGUAAUACGGGGGAUGCAAGCGUUAUCCGGAUUUAUUGGGCGUAAAGGGUGCGUAGGCGGCCCUGCAAGUCAGAAGUGAAAUCCAUGGGCUUAACCCGUGAACUGCUUUUGAAACUGUAGGGCUUGAGUGAAGUAGAGGCAGGCGGAAUUCCCGGUGUAGCGGUGAAAUGCGUAGAGAUCGGGAGGAACACCAGUGGCGAAGGCGGCCUGCUGGGCUUUAACUGACGCUGAAGCACGAAAGCGUGGGUAGCAAACAGGAUUAGAUACCCGAGUAGUC
This 459-nucleotide ribosomal RNA is filed under the name uncultured bacterium. Its description in RNAcentral is "partial 16S ribosomal RNA". It matches the Rfam family "Bacterial small subunit ribosomal RNA", at positions 338 to 795 of the family's 1533-position model. The record is from RNAcentral.